Molecule: long non-coding RNA, 1132 nt
Filed under: Equus caballus (horse)
Lineage: Eukaryota; Metazoa; Chordata; Mammalia; Perissodactyla; Equidae
Description: lncRNA (ENSECAG00000047814.1)
Source: RNAcentral
CUAUUCACACCCAUGGAAACCGCCCCGUGGAGUCCUGGCGUGGGGCCAUGGUGCGAGCUCCACUUGUCCUAGGAGGCGGGCCAGCUCAGGAGCUCCCUGGUGGUCUGAGUCCCAACCCAAAUCUCCCUUUUGUUUCCCAGAUGGCUUUUUCCCAAGCUCUUGGAAACUAAUCAAAGUAAUGUUAAAUGAGAAAUGAUCACGCGGUCUGUACGGACCCCACACUUUGACUCAAAGCCUGGCCUUCUGGACUGGCCCCCUACGCUCAGUGCCAGUGUCCCUCGGCUCCUUUUGGAGCAGUGUUGGACUGAGCAGCCUGCGAUGGGACCGCCCAAGCUCAGCUUUCUUGUUGGCUGUGUCUGUCUAGAACCUGUGUGCUUACCUUUCUCCUGUCCUCCUACGUCCCCUCCCCAGCGUGACAGCAGUUACCUCUGGCGAGAGGAGGGAGCAAGACCGCGGAAGGAACAAAGACAGCCUCAACUUUAUCUGCAAUCUUCUAUUUCCGUUAUAAAAUUAAGUUUGUGUUGAGGAGUUGCUUAUACACAGGCGCCGUGAGAGAGGUGCUACGUGGAGAGCUGUUUGGACCUGGGCCCUACGCUUUAUAAAGAGAUGACACUGGAAGGCGCAAACUCUGUGAACAGAGUCAUUUGAGGAGCAGAAUAAAAACGUUUAACGCCGUGGCAUAGAAUGAAACUAUAUUGUCUUGAAUUCCAGCUAGGUCAAAGAGCUGCAAGGGAGGCUGCAGAGAAAUGGGCUGCACGGAGAAGGCCUUCCCAGAACGGGCCAUAAAGGAGGCACUCGGGAUGCGUCAGCGGCGGAUGGCAAUGCAAGAGGCUGAGAAUCAGAUCAAACCGGAGCCAGAGCUCUUUGCUCACUGGCUAAGUCUGUCAUUCGCUCAGUGGGGAGCCUGGAGGGUCCUCGCUUCCUGGUAUAGUCUUUUUAUCUUGUAUGUAAGAAUACCUGAGUUGUGUGCUGGAAAAUCCACGCGGGUCAUUAGAUCUCAGAGUGUAAGUCACUCGCAGCAAAUACUUUUGUUACUUUAAGACAGUCUCACAUUAAGGAAUCUGGCCAGGUAUUGUGGAAGGUUUUGACUUCCCCUAUCAAAACUCAGCUUCUAAGAAUGAAUAAAACCAGG